Molecule: long non-coding RNA, 2615 nt
Filed under: Homo sapiens (human)
Lineage: Eukaryota; Metazoa; Chordata; Mammalia; Primates; Hominidae
Description: HSALNT0124211
Rfam family: Metazoan signal recognition particle RNA (bases 1563-1854)
Source: RNAcentral
GCAAAAUACGGUAAAGAAAUUGCUCAGCAUAGUUUCUCUGAAGAUGUUUGGGUAUACUUAGCAUGCUUUGCAAACCUUGGAAUUGAAUUUAAUUUUUACUUAGAGAAUUAAGCAUCUAAUUAUUGCCACAAAAAAUAGUAGAUUAAGGCCGUGCACAGUGGCUCACGCCUGUAAUCCUAGCACUUUGGGAGGCUGAGGGGGGUGGAUCACCUGGGUUCAAGGGUUCGAGACCAGCGUGGCCACUGUGGUGAAACCCCGUCUCUACUAAAAAAAAAAAAAAAAAAAUUAGCCGGGCAUGGCAGGGGGCGCCUGUAAUCUCAGCUACUUGGGAGGCUGAGGCAGGAGAAUCGCUUGAACCCAGGAGGCGGAGAUUGCAGUGAGGAGAGAUCGUCCCACUGCACUCCAGCCUGGGCAACAGAGCGAGACUCUGUCUCAAACAAACAAACAAAAUAGUAGAUUAAGUUUGGGCAACAUAGCAAGACCCUGUCCCUAUAAAAAAUUAAAAUAAUUAGCUAGGCGUGGUGGCACAAGCCUGUAGUUCCAGCAACUCUGGAGGCUGAGGCAGGAGGAUUGAUUGAACCUAAGAGUUCUAGGCUGCAGAGAGCUAUGAUUGCGCCACUGCACUCUGUUACAGAUGUAUACAUGUACUGAGUCAUGAUGGAAAAUGGAUUGAUUUAGAAAUGUUUGGGGAUGAUGGCUUGCUCAUUUGCCCUUCUAUGGUUCACUAUAGCCUAGGCUAUUUGGAGAAAAGCAAAACAUUUGAAAGCUGAAACAUUCAAAACAUUCAAAGAUUCAAAGCUGAAAUCUGCGAUCCAUGCCAUGAAACUCAAGGACAAAAAAAAAUGCGGCAGUUAUUUUAGUGGCACGAAGUCCUGGGGCUGCUGGAUCCCAGCCUAGGAGGAGAGGGACAUGAAGAAAAGUAAGGGCCAGCACAUUUUGACUGUUCUGGGGAAAAGGAACUGCAGCAAGAAGUAACUGCUCUGCUCAAAACAUUCCUAUUCUCUCUCUCUCGUCUCACUCUGUCGCUCAGGCUGGAGUGCAGUGGUGCGAUCUCGGCUCACUGCAACCUGUGCCUCCUGGGUUCAUGUGAUUCUCCUGCCUCAGUCUCCCUAGUAGCUGGGAUUACAGGUACCUACCACCACUCCCAGCUAAUUUUUUGUAUUUUUAGUAGAGAAGGGAUUUCACCGUUUUGGCCAGGCUGGCCUCGAACUCCUGACCUUGGGUGAUCCGCCUGCCUCAGCCUUCGAAAAUGCUGGGAUUAUAGGCAUGAGCCACCAUGCCCGGCCAGCCUCUCUUUAUUGGGAGCUUUCCAUCCACUCUCCAUCUCUUCUGCCUUUUCUUUUUAAAUCUCCUCAUCACUUCUUGCGAACUCUCCAUGGCUCCUAGUGCCUGAGGUGUAGGUAUAAGACAGCUUGAAACCAGUAAUCUGCAAUUCUUUCCUGGGCUUUCCGUUCUCACAACAGAGUCUGUGUCACCUGCUAAGGUACUGAAACUGACUCAGUUCUUUCACAGAGCAGAUGUUUAUGGUUUCUUUUGAAUAAACAUAGAAAUUGAUCCUUCUAGCCUGGUGUGGUGGAGUGUGCCUGUAUUCCCAGCUACUUGGGAGGCUGAGGUGGGAGGAUCCCUUGAGCCCAGGAGUUCUGGGCUGUAGUGUGCUAUGCCAGUCAGGUGUCUGCACUAAAUUUAGCAUCCACUUCCUGGGAGUGGGGGACCACCAGGUUGCUUAAGGAGGGGUUAACCAGCUCAGGUCAGAGACUGAGCAGGUCAAAACUCCCAUGCUGAUGAGUAGUGGCAUCACGCCUGUGAACAGCCACUGCACUUCAGCCUGGGCAACAUAGUGAGACCCUGUCUCAAAACAAAACAAAAGCAAAAGCAAAAGCGAAAAGAGAAACAAAUUGACCUUUCCAGUCUUGAAAUUUGAGAAAGUGACAUUUGCCUUAUCUGAGUUCCUUUCUCAGGAAAUCAACCAUCAGGCCUCCCAGAUGGUAUCAAGGAACUGAAACUUACCAGAUCACUGCAUUUGGACAAGGAGAUGCGGGACCCCUCAUCUGUCAUAAUGGCCUAACAGACCACCUGCUGCCUGUUGAUCAACUCCUCUUCCUUACCCCUCCCUAAUUCCUGUCUUACUGCAUGUAGUUACAUUUCUUCCUUCCUGUAUAAACCUCUAAUUUUAGUUGGUCAGGGAGACGAAUUUGAAACUGAUCUCCCAUCUCCUUGGCUGGAGCACCCAAUUAAAGCCUUCUUCCCUGGCACUACUGAUUGGCUUUCUGUGCAGCAAGCGGCAGGACCUACACCAAAUCCCCGGCAUUUUGGCAACAGCACUGGUCAUGCUAGGGAAAAAGUUCAAGAUUUCAACUUCCAAGACCCAGGGAAGCCUCUCACAAUUUCUAAAGGGCAGGGCAGAAGAGAUCUUUGAAAGUGAAUCUGAAUGAGUAUAAAAAUGCAGUUUCACUUUAAAUUUUCCAAAAAGCUUAUUAAAUUAGUAUUUUCAUGUGCUUUUGAAAACUUUAUUUAUUUAUUUAUUUAUUUAUUUAUUUAGAGACAGAGUCUCACUCUGUCACCCAGGUUGGAGUGCAGUGGCGUGCUCUCGACUCACUGCAACCUCUGCCUUUCAG